This 222-nucleotide ribosomal RNA is filed under the name uncultured bacterium. RNAcentral's name for it is "partial 16S ribosomal RNA". It matches the Rfam family "Bacterial small subunit ribosomal RNA", at positions 524 to 747 of the family's 1533-position model. The record is from RNAcentral.
GACAGAGGGUGCAACGUUGUUCGGAAUUACUGGGCGUAAAGCGCGUGUAGGCGGCUAAGUAAGUCGGGCGUGAAAUCCCACGGCUCAACCGUGGAAGUGCACUCGAAACUGCAUAGCUAGAGUCCUGGAGAGGAAGGUGGAAUGCUUGGUGUAGAGGUGAAAUUCGUAGAUAUCAAGCGGAACACCGGUGGCGAAGGCGGCCUCUGGACAGUGACUGACGCU